AACGGAGGGUGCAAGCGUUGUUCGGAAUUACUGGGCGUAAAGCGCGUGCAGGCGGUCUUUUAAGUUCCGUGUGAAAUCCCCCGGCUUAACCGGGGAACUGCGCGGAAAACUGGGAGACUUGAAUACGGGAGAAGAGGGCGGAAUUCCCAGUGUAGAGGUGAAAUUCGUAGAUAUUGGGAGGAACACCGGCGGCGAAAGCGGCUCUCUAGACCGAUAUUGACGCUCAUUCGCGAGAGCGUGGGUAGCACACAGG
This 253-nucleotide ribosomal RNA is filed under the name uncultured bacterium. RNAcentral's name for it is "partial 16S ribosomal RNA". It matches the Rfam family "Bacterial small subunit ribosomal RNA", at positions 524 to 776 of the family's 1533-position model. The record is from RNAcentral.